This is a non-coding RNA of Podarcis lilfordi (Lilford's wall lizard), 1091 nucleotides long. The record is from the annotation of a GenBank genome assembly. NCBI's taxonomy places the organism in Eukaryota, Metazoa, Chordata, Lepidosauria, Squamata, Lacertidae.
GAGAUUUUGAGGGGUCCAAGAACACCUAGCCCCCCUGGAGUUGGUGUGCUUGGAGCCAUUCCGGACUGGUUGCAAGAAGGCAGACAGGAGGAAGCUGGCUGAGGGCAGACUAAGGUGGGUGGAUCAGUGCCCUAAUAGGCGUGCCUCCACCUUCCACUGGUGAGAAACCAAUCCUUUAUAUCUGCACACCAUUAGAUCUAGUUCAGGGCCCAUACCCCCAGUCCCCCCUCCUCAAUUUCCCCUCACCUGAGAGUAUCCCCUGCUCUAUUAUUCAUGCAUUUUUUCUUCUUCUCCUCCUCCUCUAAAACCUGUCUGCAUGCCAAAUUACCUUUGUCAAUCUGAAGUUAAAAAUAUAAUGAGUGAUUUAGGCAGCUCCAACAAUUGAUAGGAUUUGACCUGCUGAUUUUGAAAGGUCAAUGGAACACAUUUUUUUAAUAUAAAAAUGUCCAGAUAAGUAGGCUCUUUUUGUAUGCGAAAUGCCAUUGCUUCCGUCCCUUGAUUACAAGGCGAGGCGUCCUGUAAAAGGUUACUUUUAGAGAAGGAAGCCAUACAGCCUCUCCAGGUGGCUAUUCAAUUUUAAUUUUGCCUUGACACUUGUCUGUACCAUUCUAGCGUUCUCCAUUGUGGAAUCUUUUAAUGCCGUAUCACUGACUGAUGUGUACUUGGGAGGUAAUGAAAAUCCACCUCAUUUUUUUUUUUUAUGUAGGUAGAAAUAUGACCUUUAGGGCACCUCAUAUAAUCCAGACAGAUUGUGGCUGCACUGAUCUCCAAUUUGUGUUAUGUUUUUAUGGGCAAGAAUUCAUCAUCAUAAUAGAAGAGGGAAGUGGAGAAUGGAGGGCAAAAUGCUUUAAUAAUCCUGUUUAGGUUUCGGCCAGUGUUUAAGUUAGAUGAGAAAGCUCACAGCUCUCCAGUAAUGGGCUUACCUGGUGGUUACUUUUACAUAUAUCAACCCCAAGGAAAAGGCUCUCAUUUCGCCUUUCUUUUCUUUUAAUUUAGAGAUGGAUGGAUCUGCCAAUUUCAGUUUCUCUCAGUUUCCUAUUUCUCCAAUCUCAGGUUCAGCUCAGCUCAUUUCCGUGGCAGUUUGUGUGGUG